AUAGCAAUAUAUAAAGCCAGACUGUCUAACAUGCGACAGAACAAACAAAUGUCUGUCAAAGUGAAUUUGGUAGAGUUUAUUUGAAUAUAUUUUGGAAUGAGAUGGAAAAGAGCGUGCUAAAUAUCAUUCUCUUCUUAAUUAUUUUUGGUAUGUUUUAUGACAGCAAGGCAGCUCGUGUCAAUACCCUUAAAGAACAUAAUAAUGGUACUCAAAGUAUGAAUGAGACGACAACAAUUAGACCGACAUUUAGCCCAAAAGGCGAUAGUAUACGAUGUUACAAAUGCGCAAGCUGGGAGAACGCAGGGUGUGGUUAUGACAUAUUACCGGAUACGAUUCCAUCAGUGUACUGUUCUUCUGGUGAAUGUACCAAGAUUGAAGUAAGGUACAAUUGGAAAACAGAGAUCAUACGUGGCUGCUCAACAUACACAAGCGCAAAAGUAUUCAAGUGUGAUGAUGACGAUUACUGUAAUAGCGGUACUUCAGUGAAAGCCGUUUGGAAAACAUUCUUUAUAUCAAUUUUGUGCAGCUUUUUCUUUUUGUUAUAGACACGAUAGAGUCAGAUAAAAAUAUCCUGCAAUAGUUUAAAGAGAUUGACCUUUGAUACGGGAUAUAACUAAAAAAUCAUGGAAACAUUUGUGUCGUCAAUUUAUUUGAAGAGAGUUUUAAGUUUCAAAGAUAUAUACAUAUUAUUUUUAAAUUUGAUUCAUACACUAGUAACCCGAAUUUGGCUUGAACGGCCAAAAAGGUAUUAAUGACAUUUAAAAAAGAUUGAUUAUCAUUAGAUAACGAUUGACAAAAAUUAAAAAUUGUUUUUAAUUCAUUUCAAUCCAUAUCAAAUUAUUUUAAUACCAGUCAAAUAGAUUCCCUUGCGGUCAUUCAAGUUAGUUUCAGAUGUGGUUAAGCUGUGUCAAACUAAUUAGCCACGCCCCCGUUAAACCAAAUCAAACUGAUGUUAAAUCCUUUUUUUUUACGUGUAAGUAAAGUUUGGUCUCUUACAAAUACUUGGGGAUUUUUUUUUAAAUGGAAAGAGAAUGCGAAUGAGAAGGUCCUCAUUGCACUCAUAGGCUCGAGCCUAGAAGUGAAAGAUGUUUUAAAAACAAUUCAAUAGAAUAUAAAUAGAUUUAAACAAAUUUGUGAUGAAAAAUUAUCACUUAAAUUUCUGUUAAAUUUGUCAUUAUUAUAUGCAUUGAAUUGCUGUAUUCCUGUAUAUUUACCUUUUCUUUUUUUUUGUACUCGUUAUUUAAAUAGAGACACAUGUGUCUAAGAACAGUAAUUAUUUAUUGUUGACAUAGAAAAAAUCGAUACAUCUUACAUUUUCGGUAACAAAAGCUAUAAUUAUACCGACAUUUAAAAUAGUUUGUAUAUAAAUCAAGUUUGUGUUAAAUAAUAAAAUUGAUAUAGAUAAUGUU
This is a long non-coding RNA of Mytilus californianus (California mussel), 1409 nucleotides long. RefSeq lists it as uncharacterized. The record is from RefSeq and is a predicted model, not a curated record. Lineage: Eukaryota; Metazoa; Mollusca; Bivalvia; Mytilida; Mytilidae. The transcript has 4 exons.